RNAcentral lists this long non-coding RNA (322 nucleotides) under Elaeis guineensis (African oil palm). RNAcentral describes it as "long non-coding RNA (EGUI_LNC028515)". The record is from RNAcentral. Lineage: Eukaryota; Viridiplantae; Streptophyta; Magnoliopsida; Arecales; Arecaceae.
UUUCAUCCCUAUUCUUAAGGCUCGAACUGACUUAAGCAUCGGAGGAUCAAGAAUCAGAGGAUUUCUAUCCAAUUUUUUGACUGAUUUUGUAGAUUGACGGAGUUUUCAUCAGGUCAUAAGGAUCGCUCUAGCCCAAUCUCAUCCAAGUCGAUUCACUCUACUCUAGAUUUCGAGCCCACAGUAAUAGAUUGGUGCUAGAGGAAAGAUCCCUGAUUUCUUUUGUGGAAAAGAUGGUUAAAGCAUGAGCUCAACAUCCCUCUCCCUUUGCUCCAGAAGAAAGAGCACCUGAGGCACCACCACAGCAACCAAUUGCUGUUGAUUC